This 265-nucleotide long non-coding RNA is filed under the name Carica papaya (papaya). RNAcentral's name for it is "long non-coding RNA (CPAP_LNC007919)". Lineage: Eukaryota; Viridiplantae; Streptophyta; Magnoliopsida; Brassicales; Caricaceae. The record is from RNAcentral.
UGAAGAAAAGUGUAAUCUCGACCAAGACUUGUCAUAAUAGAAUUUUUCUUGAUGCGGAACUCGGGAUCAACACAUGCAAUCUAAAAUCUCGCGUAUAAUAUCAAUAUGCAAAAACUUAAACCUCUAAGUAGACCUUUCAUACUUAAUCCACAUUCAACCUGCGAAUGUAAACUAAGGUAAUCGAGAAAAGAAAUUAAAAUUGAAAAGACACCACAAACUUACCUUAUCCUAAUUCCUAGCUCAACAAAAUCGUUGAAGACUCUCU